AUUGAACGCUGGCGGCAUGCCUUACACAUGCAAGUCGAACGGCAGCACGGGGCAACCUGGUGGCGAGUGGCGAACGGGUGAGUAAUGCAUCGGAACGUGCCAUUGAGUGGGGGAUAACGUAGCGAAAGUUGCGCUAAUACCGCAUAUUCUGUGAGCAGGAAAGCAGGGACCGCAAGGCCUUGCGCUCUUUGAGCGGCCGAUGUCAGAUUAGCUAGUUGGUGAGGUAACGGCUUACCAAGGCGACGAUCUGUAGCGGGUCUGAGAGGAUGAUCCGCCACACUGGAACUGAGACACGGUCCAGACUCCUACGGGAGGCAGCAGUGGGGAAUUUUGGACAAUGGGGGCAACCCUGAUCCAGCAAUGCCGCGUGAGUGAUGAAGGCCUUAGGGUUGUAAAGCUCUUUUGCCAGGGAAGAUGAUGACUGUACCUGGAGAAUAAGCCCCGGCUAACUUCGUGCCAGCAG
Molecule: ribosomal RNA, 463 nt
Filed under: uncultured bacterium
Lineage: Bacteria
Description: bacterial SSU rRNA
Rfam family: Bacterial small subunit ribosomal RNA
Source: RNAcentral